Long non-coding RNA from Lacerta agilis (Sand lizard), 391 nucleotides. RefSeq lists it as uncharacterized. The record is from RefSeq and is a predicted model, not a curated record. The transcript is spliced from 3 exons. Lineage: Eukaryota; Metazoa; Chordata; Lepidosauria; Squamata; Lacertidae.
UCAUCAUUGAAGCUUCAAGGAUCUUUAUCAACGAUAUUCAAGUCAAACAGCAAAAAAGUGUGGCUGGACCAGAUGAGAACAACAUGCAAUCUGUGGUCUGGACAAUUUUGAUUGAUGUGAUCCGUCACUGCAUCCGAUUGGUAGCUGACAUCCUUAAUGUGUCACUUCUGAGUACACUGGCUUGUAAGUUGCUGAUGACACCCUCUUUUUCCAACAACCUUUGCUUCUGCUGGGGAGACUUUGUGGAACAGCCUAGCAGAGGCUAACAGAUAACCUUGUUUGGAAACAGAAGAUAAGAAAUCAGCUGGUAACUCUCCAAGCGUUCUAUGCCCUACAUUAGGUAUGGUUACCUCACAGUGAUUCUCCACGGUUUUAUUAAGUCAAUCCAUCA